CGCUCUUUCGCCAUUCAAACCCAAAUCCAGAAAACGAAACACCGAUCGAAGAUGUGGAGGAGGCGUUUCACUUCACUCCCUCUAUUCUUUUCGCAUCUUCAACAGGUGAGAAGAGCUGAUGAGCUGAAGAUUUGUCAAGCAUUUUGUACUGAAACUGUCAAACCGCCGGUAGAAGGUGAAAGUAAUUCCGGAAGAAAUAGUCCUUUUGUCGCUUUUGUAUUGGGAGGUCCUGGUAGUGGUAAAGGCACUCAAUGCCUGAAGAUUGCUGAAACUUUUGGGUUCGAUCACAUAGGUGCAGGAGAUCUAUUGAGGAAAGAGAUGCAUUCUGACUCCGAGAAUGGUGCCAUGAUUCAAAAGUUAAUGAAGGAAGGAAGUAUUGCUCCAUCAGAGGUGACUGUCAAACUGAUUAAAAAGGCAAUUGAAUCAGCUGAAAAUCGUAAGUUUCUAAUAGAUGGUUUCCCAAGAAGUGAAGAAAAUAGAGUGGCGUAUGAGAGGAUUAUUGGUGCUGAACCGAACUUUGUGCUUUUCUUUGAUUGCCCUGAAGAAGUAAUGGUCAAACGAGUAUUGAACCGGAACGAGGGGCGAGUUGAUGAUAAUGAACAUACAGUCAAGGAGCGCCUAAAGGUAUAUAAAGCUAUCACUCUUCCAGUAGCCAACCACUAUGCCAUGAAAGGAAAGCUUUACAAGGUCGAUGGUACUGGAACUCAGGAAGAGAUAUUUGAACGAGUCCGUCCAAUUUUUGCUUCAUUGAGGUUGUCUACAUAAACUGAUUCCUACAGAAGCGAGUGAUAGUAAUUGAAGAAGUUGAAUUUGCUGUAGAAAAGCACACUAGAAUGUAGAUCAAUUCAUGGAAGAAAAAUGAAAAGGCAAAUUGCUAGUCCAAGUUUACUAUUUGUUCCUGCUUUUCUGGUGAAAAAUCCAGAGUCAAAACUGCCAAUCGUGAAGAUAAAAUCCGCCUCCUCUGUUGCCAAUCUUUAGGCAAAGCAAACCUCUCAUCCAGCAAGUUUACAGAUGUGUCUUUUUCUUUUCCCUUGUUGUUUUAAUUGUUUACACAUUACCUUUGCUCCUUUCAUGCUAUAACCAAUAUUGCGUGUACACACGCGAAAGUGUUCAAAUACAUUACUUCUGCAGUCAAUGUUCCUGCGAAGUUUUGAUAAUUUCAUGAAAGAUGUUGUUGUAAGCACAUUGGACAGUAAAUAACUCUGAUCUACGGUAUGUUGUUGUUGUAAGCACAUUGGACAGUAAAUAACUCUGAUCUACGGUAUGU
This 1267-nucleotide unclassified non-coding RNA is filed under the name Hevea brasiliensis (rubber tree). Lineage: Eukaryota; Viridiplantae; Streptophyta; Magnoliopsida; Malpighiales; Euphorbiaceae. The record is from RNAcentral.